This is a long non-coding RNA of Triticum dicoccoides, 951 nucleotides long. RefSeq lists it as uncharacterized. The transcript is spliced from 6 exons. The record is from RefSeq and is a predicted model, not a curated record. NCBI's taxonomy places the organism in Eukaryota, Viridiplantae, Streptophyta, Magnoliopsida, Poales, Poaceae.
CACGCCCCCGCGCCGUUCCUCCUCCCGCAGCCGGGCGCGGCCCGCAGGUCGCCGAGCCGCCGUCCCGGAGCCGCCCUUCGCCGCAGCCUCGCUGCACGCUGAGUCCUCCGAGGAGAUGGAAGCUGCUGUUCAACGAGGAGGGUUGCCUAGACGCAGCUGGAAUGAUUAUGAGAGUACAGCGUGGGGACGUUGUCUUCAUUUUGGUUAUGCGAACAGGGUGUCCACCCAAAUAUCAAAGGGGAAGUGUGGGAGUUUUUGUUGGGUUGUUACGAUCCUAAAAGCACUACUGAACAGAGGAACCAGUUGUGGCAACAGAGAAGGCCUCCGAUGUUAGGAAAGAGAGGAGAUGGUCUUCGUCAGUUGCACUGAAGCAUGGGAAGGAUGCAGGUGAAGCGGUGGAGAAGGACACCGACGUUGCCAAGGUUGUUAUAGCAGCGACACUAUUGAACGCUCAAGGGAAGAGUAGACGCGCCUGGGUGGCUGGGUGACUCUGACCACUGAUUUCCUCCAUGAGCCACUGUAGCACCUUUAUGUUGUGACACUCCUACAUAUUCAUGUUAAUCACAUGAUUGUAAAGGAAUAUGCAAAGCUGAUGAGACUAGAGCUAAAGUUCUUUCUCUUGGAUUCGUCAGUUAGGUACAUCAUUCCUUCAACUAUCCACAUUUUAAACUGUAUACUAUUGUCGUAAAUCAAGUGGAAUAUGUGUAUGCAAACUGUCAAACUAAAACUUGGAAACAAACAUCAUUGAUUACUAAUCGAUGAUGUAACUUUUGAAGGAAGUAACAAAUGGAAUGAUUUGUUGCCCAUGUACAUUUGGUAAAUUUCUUUGAUAGUUUUUGUUGUUUAUGUAUAGAAAAAAAAUCAUUGGUAGAGAGGAAUCUUUCUGAAAAUGUUUUCUCGGUAAUGAAAUGGGGAGAAAAUGUUUCUCAAAAUGUUCAUUUCAAUUUUUUG